CUUAUUUAUAACACUUAUGCCACAAGACAGCUACUUCACAAUUAGUCCACCCUGCCGUCACUGGUGAUUUAAAUAAUCUACAAAAGAACCAUGAACAGGUUCUUGGUCUUUGUGGCUGCUAUAAUUCUGAUUAAGGACACAAAUGGGAAGCCUUUCAUCCCUUGG
Long non-coding RNA from Erpetoichthys calabaricus (reedfish), 165 nucleotides. RefSeq lists it as uncharacterized. NCBI's taxonomy places the organism in Eukaryota, Metazoa, Chordata, Cladistia, Polypteriformes, Polypteridae. The transcript is spliced from 2 exons. The record is from RefSeq and is a predicted model, not a curated record.